RNAcentral lists this non-coding RNA (31 nucleotides) under Mus musculus (house mouse). The record is from RNAcentral. Lineage: Eukaryota; Metazoa; Chordata; Mammalia; Rodentia; Muridae.
CACAAUAUUGAGAAGGAUGCCGAUUCUAUGU